GGCUGGUCCGAGUGCAGUGGUGUUUACAACUCAUUGAUCACAACCAGUUACAGAUUUCUUUGUUCCUUCUCCAUUCCCACUACUUCACUUGACUAGCCUUAA
Molecule: Y RNA, 102 nt
Filed under: Saimiri boliviensis boliviensis (Bolivian squirrel monkey)
Lineage: Eukaryota; Metazoa; Chordata; Mammalia; Primates; Cebidae
Description: Y RNA (ENSSBOG00000003705.1)
Rfam family: Y RNA
About the family: Y RNAs are components of the Ro ribonucleoprotein particle (Ro RNP), in association with Ro60 and La proteins. The Y RNAs and Ro60 and La proteins are well conserved, but the function of the Ro RNP is not known.
Source: Rfam by way of RNAcentral